GUCUGAUAGUGUGGCUCGUCCUCUUUUCUCUCCAUGCUACCCACUGGGUGCUGCUCUCCGGGUUUGCUUCUCUUGAACGAUGGGGACCCCUGCCCAGGACCCUCUCCCAUGUCCUGGUUUCCCGUUUCUAGGACAGGUCAUGCCACGGCCAUGUUUUCCACUGCUAGUACCUGCUUCCCUGAUCAUCAGCACCUUCGCCACAGCCCUCCUCAGUUCUCUGUCCCUGGCAGCCUCCCUGAAGCCACGGCCUCCGGGCAUUUACACAACAAUUUUAUGAACAAACAGGUUAGCAGAGCACAUCGUUGCAUUCCUGAACGAGAGCUGAAGUUAGCAUCUUCCUCUGAGACCCCAAGUGGUGUCUCUCUAAUGACAAGGGAAUAUUCUUGCACAUGUGCAGAUGUCGGGCAGUGGGCGGCAAGAGAAGGGACAGAGCUGCUUACAUCUGUUUCUUUUGUAACCAAGAGCGAAACUGUGGUGCUCAGGCAGCCCAGCAGGGCCAAUCGGCACAAUGCCCAAACACACCGACAACUUUUGCCUUGGCCUCCUCUUGGCUCUCCCUGCAGCAAACCUGUGAACACAGGGCCAGAGCCAGGCUCUGGAUGGAAGGACUCAAAGGUGUCCUGCCUUUCUGUUGCUUCCAUCUGCACCAUCACUGGAAAAAUCCUUCUACGUCCAUGCCUGUCCUUCGACGUAUACAAGCAGGUUUUGAUUUCACACGUGGAGUUUUCUAGUGGAACAUUACGUUGAGUUACAUGUCAUCAGUCAUACACCACCAAGCCACCCUCCGGUAACUCACUGGGACAUGGAGCAAGUGUCCUUGGCUGCAACAGUUACAGAGCAUGGGGUGGACCCCAGGACGUCACUGCCACCUUCUGUGGACACCUCUGCUGACCUUCCCUACCCUUGUUCAUCCAUGCUCCCCUGCCUUCCUUCCAACACCUGUUUUUUUCUCCCUUGAGAAGGAGGAAGGCAGGUGGGGGUCUUGCGGCAGAUCUUGGCCCCAGCCUUGCUUCGUCUCUUUACAGUGGAUCUUCAAG
RNAcentral lists this long non-coding RNA (1037 nucleotides) under Heterocephalus glaber (naked mole-rat). Its description in RNAcentral is "lncRNA (ENSHGLG00100041250.1)". Lineage: Eukaryota; Metazoa; Chordata; Mammalia; Rodentia; Bathyergidae. The record is from RNAcentral.